UUUCCGUAGGUGAACCUGCGGAAGGAUCAUUAUCGUACAAAAUGUGAGGGGCAUGCGAGGGCUGUCGCUGACCCAAAAGUCGUGCACGCCCGAGUGCCCUCACACACAUCCAUCUCACCCCUAUGUGCACCACCGCGUGGGUCCCCCUUUGGCUUGUUCGGAGGGGGGCUUACGUUUUCACACAAACUUUGUAUGCAGUGUAGAAUGUAUUUUUUGUUUUUGCGAUCACGCAAUCAAUACAACUUUCAACAACGGAUCUCUUGGCUCUC
This 269-nucleotide unclassified non-coding RNA is filed under the name plant metagenome. RNAcentral describes it as "partial contains small subunit ribosomal RNA, internal transcribed spacer 1, and 5.8S ribosomal RNA". The record is from RNAcentral.